UACAGAGGCCACAAGCGUUAGACGGAAUCACUGGGCUUAAAGCGUGUGUAGGCGGGAUGGUAAGUACCUUGUGAAAUCCCACAGCUUAACUGUGGAAUUGCUUGGUAUACUGCCGUUCUUGAGUCACCUAGGGGCAGCUGGAACAGAUGGUGGAGCGGUGAAAUGCGUAGAUAUCAUUUGGAACGCCAAUGGUGAAAACAGGUAGCUGGGAGUGUGCUGACGCUGAGACACGAAAGCCAGGGGAGCGAACGGG
RNAcentral lists this ribosomal RNA (253 nucleotides) under uncultured bacterium. RNAcentral's name for it is "partial 16S ribosomal RNA". It matches the Rfam family "Bacterial small subunit ribosomal RNA", at positions 524 to 776 of the family's 1533-position model. The record is from RNAcentral.